GAUGAACGCUGGCGGCGUGCUUAACACAUGCAAGUCGAACGAAGCAUUAUAUUAGAAAUUUUCGGAUGGAAGAUAUAAUGACUGAGUGGCGGACGGGUGAGUAACGCGUGGAUAACCUGCCUCAUACAGGGGGAUAACACUCAGAAAUGGGUGCUAAUACCGCAUAAGCGCACAGGACCGCAUGGUCCGGUGUGAAAAACUCCGGUGGUAUGAGAUGGAUCCGCGUCUGAUUAGCUAGUUGGUAAGGUAAUGGCUUACCAAGGCGACGAUCAGUAGCCGGCCUGGGAGGGUGACCGGCCACAUUGGGACUGAGACACGGCCCAAACUCCGACGGGAGGCAGCAGUGGGGAAUAUUGCACAAUGGGGGAAACCCUGAUGCAGCGACGCCGCGUGAAGGAAGAAGGGUUUCGGCUCGUAAACUUCUAUCGACAGGGAAGAAAGAAAUGACGGUACCUGAAUAAGAAGCCCCGGCUAACUACGUGCAAGCCGCCGC
This 493-nucleotide ribosomal RNA is filed under the name uncultured bacterium. RNAcentral describes it as "bacterial SSU rRNA". It matches the Rfam family "Bacterial small subunit ribosomal RNA", at positions 28 to 518 of the family's 1533-position model. The record is from RNAcentral.